GACGAACGCUGGCGGCGUGCUUAACACAUGCAAGUCGAACGGUAAGGCCCUUCGGGGUACACGAGUGGCGAACGGGUGAGUAACACGUGGGUGAUCUGCCCUGCACUUCGGGAUAAGCCGGGGAAACUGGGUCUAAUACCGGAUAGGACCACUGCCUGCAGGGGUGGAGGUGGAAAGCUUUUGCGGUGUGGGAUGGGCCCGCGGCCUAUCAGCUUGUUGGUGGGGUGAUGGCCUACCAAGGGGACGACGGGUAGCCGGCCUGAGAGGGUGACCGGCCACACUGGGACUGAGAUACGGCCCAGACUCCUACGGGAGGCAGCAGUGGGGAAUAUUGCACAAUGGGCGCAAGCCUGAUGCAGCGACGCCGCGUGAGGGAUGACGGCCUUCGGGUUGUAAACCUCUUUCAGCACCGACGAAGCGCAAGUGACGGUAGGUGCAGAAGAAGGACCGGCCAACUACGUGCCAGCAGCCGCCGUAA
RNAcentral lists this ribosomal RNA (478 nucleotides) under uncultured bacterium. RNAcentral describes it as "partial 16S ribosomal RNA". It matches the Rfam family "Bacterial small subunit ribosomal RNA", at positions 28 to 523 of the family's 1533-position model. The record is from RNAcentral.